CUGAGACACGGUCCAGACUCCUACGGGAGGCAGCAGUGGGGAAUAUUGCACAAUGGGCGCAAGCCUGAUGCAGCCAUGCCGCGUGUAUGAAGAAGGCCUUCGGGUUGUAAAGUACUUUCAGCGGGGAGGAAGGGAGUAAAGUUAAUACCUUUGCUCAUUGACGUUACCCGCAGAAGAAGCACCGGCUAACUCCGUGCCAGCAGCCGCGGUAAUACGGAGGGUGCAAGCGUUAAUCGGAAUUACUGGGCGUAAAGCGCACGCAGGCGGUUUGUUAAGUCAGAUGUGAAAUCCCGCGGGCCUCAACCCUUGGGGAACUUGGGCAUACGGAAUACUUGGCUAAGCUAUGAGUAUCUGGUAGUAGGAGGGGGUUAGGAAUUGCCAGGUGUAUGCAGGUUGAAAUGCAGUAAGACGAUUCUGGAGGAAUACCGGUUGGCGAAGGCGGCCCCCCUGGAAGAAUGACUGACGCUCAGGUGAGAAAGCGUGGGGGAGCAAACAGGAAUUAGAUACACUGGUAGUCCACGACCGUAAACGAUGUCGACUUGGAGGUUGUGCCCUUGAGGCGUGGCUUCCGGAGCUAACGCGUUAAGUCGACCGCCUGGGGAGUACGGCCGCAAAGGUUAAAACUCAAAUGAAUUGACGGGGGCCCCGCACAAGCGGUUGGAGCAUGUGGUUUAAAUUUCGAUGCAACGAGAAGAACCUUACAUGGUCGUGACAUCCAACGGAAGUUUUUCAGAGAUGGAAGAAUUGUCCACAUUCGAGAACCGUGAGAACAGGUGCUUGCAAUUGGACCUGUCGUCAGCUAGGUGUUCGUGAAAUGUUGGGGUCUUAAAGUCCCGCAACGAGCGCAACCAUUAUCCUUUGUUGCCAGCGGUCCGGCCGGGAACUCAAAGGAGACUGCCAGUGAUAAACUGGAGGAAGGUGGGGAUGACGUCAAGUCAUCAUGGCCCUUACGACCAGGGCUACACACGUGCUACAAUGGUGCAUACAAAGAGAAGCGACCUCGCGAGAGCAAGCGGACCUCAUAAAGAGCGUCGUAGUCCGGAUUGGAGUCUGCAACUCGACUCCAUGAAGUCGGAAUCGCUAGUAAUCGUGGAUCAGAAUGCCACGGUGAAUACGUUCCCGGGCCUUGUACACACCGCCCGUCACACCAUGGGAGUGGGUUGCAAAAGAAGUAGGUAGCUUAACCUUCGGGAGGGCGCUUACCACUAUAUGAUUC
RNAcentral lists this ribosomal RNA (1216 nucleotides) under uncultured Escherichia sp. RNAcentral's name for it is "bacterial SSU rRNA". It matches the Rfam family "Bacterial small subunit ribosomal RNA", at positions 319 to 1470 of the family's 1533-position model. The record is from RNAcentral. Lineage: Bacteria; Pseudomonadati; Pseudomonadota; Gammaproteobacteria; Enterobacterales; Enterobacteriaceae.